This 512-nucleotide ribosomal RNA is filed under the name Pseudomonadota bacterium. Its description in RNAcentral is "bacterial SSU rRNA". It matches the Rfam family "Bacterial small subunit ribosomal RNA", at positions 1 to 510 of the family's 1533-position model. The record is from RNAcentral. Lineage: Bacteria; Pseudomonadati; Pseudomonadota.
GAACUGGAGAGUUUGAUCCUGGCUCAGAACGAACGCUGGCGGCGUGCUUAAGACAUGCAAGUCGUGCGAGAAAGUCGCCUUCGGGUGGCGAGUAAAGCGGCGCACGGGUGAGUAACGCGUGGGUAAUCUACCUACGGGUCUGGGAUAACUCCGGGAAACUGGAGCUAAUACCGGAUAAGCCCACGAUGUCCUCGGACAUUGAGGGAAAAGGUGGCCUCGUCUUGAAAGCUAUCGCCCGAUGAUGAGCCCGCGUCCCAUUAGCUUGUUGGUGAGGUAAAGGCUCACCAAGGCUCCGAUGGGUAGCUGGUCUGAGAGGAUGAUCAGCCACACUGGAACUGAGACACGGUCCAGACUCCUACGGGAGGCAGCAGUCGGGAAUUUUGGGCAAUGGGCGAAAGCCUGACCCAGCAACGCCGCGUGGAGGAAGAAGGCCUUCGGGUCGUAAACUCCUGUCCUAGGGGAAGAAGAAAGUGACGGUACCCUUGAAGGAAGCCCCGGCUAACUCCGUGCCA